This 536-nucleotide long non-coding RNA is filed under the name Chinchilla lanigera (long-tailed chinchilla). RNAcentral describes it as "lncRNA (ENSCLAG00000025392.1)". The record is from RNAcentral. Lineage: Eukaryota; Metazoa; Chordata; Mammalia; Rodentia; Chinchillidae.
GGAAAAACUGUGUGUGCAGUCAAAGCACUCUGCAUGAAGGUGACUUUUCUAGAAGGAAAAAUGGCUGAAUUGGAGACCUUUGUCGUGAAGCUGGGGAAUCCUUCUGAAUGUGAAUUCAGCAGGACCAGGUGUUUCCACGUGUUCGAGAGAGAUGUCAUCGACUCUGGGCCCUUCAGAGAACAGCAAUGAUGACUGCCAGAGGGUAAAGGCCAAGGGAUGAGGCACUUCCCAUAUUGCUCCAGCUGUAUUUAGAGCCAAGAGAACAAAGUGAUUGGAAGACAGGCUUAACAUUUAUAGCCCUCAAAUUUUGUCUAAACUCAACAUAUCCCUCCAAGUCCUAGUCAAUCUCAUGUCCUCUCAGGAAUCUUUUCCAGGUACAUUUGUCUCUUUUAAUCUUUUCUUGCUCUGAUAAACAUGUACCAAUAUCAUGAUAUACAGUGUCACACAAUUCAGUGAUCCAAACUAGAAAAGCUCCCCCAUAUAAGUAAUUCUGAAAGAGAGCUAUACCACCUCAUAAAAUAAAGAUGAGUAACACA